UUGUGGAGACGAAGUCAACGCGUGGGGCAUUGAUGGGAGAUAGGCCGCUUUGUUAAAUCAUGACUCAAGGAGCUGUUUGCGCGCAGGAAAUGGAGUGGCACCCAAGUGAAGAUGGCCUGAAGCAGAUAUUGCAGUUGUUGAAGGAAUCCCAGUCUCCUAAUACGGAAACGCAGACGGCUGUGCAACAUAGACUUGAAGAGCUUAACAAGUACCCAGACUUCAACAACUUCUUGGUAUUCGUUCUCACAAAGCUGAAGACUGAGGAUGAAGCUACUCGGUCACUCAGUGGGCUGAUACUCAAGAACAACGUUCGGACAUACUUUCAGAAGCUGCCACCUCAGGUGGCCAACUUUAUCAAGCAGGAAUGCUUGAACGCAAUAGGAGACCCUUCGCCCCUUAUCAGGGCCACCAUAGGUAAGUGGCUUCAUUACAAA
Molecule: long non-coding RNA, 434 nt
Organism: Pollicipes pollicipes
Lineage: Eukaryota; Metazoa; Arthropoda; Thecostraca; Pollicipedomorpha; Pollicipedidae
Exons: 3
Source: RefSeq, a predicted model, not a curated record